UAUGUGAUCGUCUCUCGCAUAUCAAUAAGCGGAGGAAAAGAAACUAACAAGGAUUCCCCUAGUAACGGCGAGUGAAGCGGGAAGAGCUCAAAUUUGAAAUCUUAAAGGGUUUCCCUUUACGAAUUGUAGUUUAAAGAAGUGUUUUCUGUUGAGGUUUUGGUAAAAGUUCUUUGGAAUAGGACAUCAUAGAGGGUGAGAAUCCCGUAUUUGACCUUUACUUUCAACUUUGUGAUACACUUUCAAAGAGUCGGAUUGUUUGGGAAUGCAGUCCAAAAUGGGUGGUAAAUUUCAUCUAAAGCUAAAUAUUGGCGAGAGACCGAUAGCGAACAAGUACCGUGAGGGAAAGAUGAAAAGAACUUUGAAAAGAGAGUUAAACAGUACGUGAAAUUGUCAAAAGGGAAGCGUUUGACACCAGUGUUGUUUUUCUGAAAAUCAAUUAAAGAACUGUUUAUGCUAAGUUGUUUAGACUUUAUCAGCCAACUGUUUAGUUUUGAGCUUUUCUUUAAUGCACUUUUCAGUUAACAAGUCAACAUCAAUUUCUUUUGCUGUAAAAAAGCUUGAGGAAGGUGGCUUGAGAUUCGUCUUAAGUGUUUAUAGCCUCUUGCCUAUGCAGUCGGAGAGAUUGAGGUCUGCAGCGUAGAUCCUUCGGGGCUAAAUGCAUUUGUGCUAAGUUAUAGCAUUUUAUAGACAACUUGUUGACUAUGAUUUGUCUUGUAGCUUACUCGCUUAUGUUAUUUUACCUACGCUUAGGAUGUUGACUGAUAUGUAGUCGUA
RNAcentral lists this ribosomal RNA (774 nucleotides) under uncultured Neocallimastigales. RNAcentral describes it as "partial large subunit ribosomal RNA". It matches the Rfam family "Eukaryotic large subunit ribosomal RNA", at positions 24 to 644 of the family's 3401-position model. Lineage: Eukaryota; Fungi; Neocallimastigomycota; Neocallimastigomycetes; Neocallimastigales. The record is from RNAcentral.